UGAGCCAAGUUUAGGGUUUUCUCAAAACCCAAGCAGUAUUGAACUGAAGAGUUUGAUCAUGGCUCAGAUUGAACGCUGGCGGCAGGCCUAACACAUGCAAGUCGAGCGGAUGAAGGGAGCUUGCU
Molecule: ribosomal RNA, 125 nt
Filed under: Pseudomonas aeruginosa
Lineage: Bacteria; Pseudomonadati; Pseudomonadota; Gammaproteobacteria; Pseudomonadales; Pseudomonadaceae
Description: partial 16S ribosomal RNA
Rfam family: Bacterial small subunit ribosomal RNA (bases 41-125)
Source: RNAcentral